Chlorocebus sabaeus (green monkey) is the source of this 2718-nucleotide non-coding RNA. NCBI's taxonomy places the organism in Eukaryota, Metazoa, Chordata, Mammalia, Primates, Cercopithecidae. The record is from RefSeq and is a predicted model, not a curated record.
GCCAGCGCGCGCGCCCAACGCCGGCACUGUCUUCGCGGAACUCUCUCCAGGGACUAACGGCCGUUCCGCGCCACGCACGCACUGGCAAGAUGGCUGCGGCCGGGGGAGGAGCUUGGAGUCAGCCGCCACCGAACUCGGCCGGGGAUUGAGCGGACUGCGGCUGCGUGGCGCCGGCGACAGCGUCAAUAUUUGUAUGCGAAAAGAAAACUUGCAGUUGGCUCCAUAGCUCAGGGGGGGAGACGAUGGCACUACCGCGCCCCUUCCCGCCCCGCGUUUGUUUGCUGCGUUUGUUUGCGGCGUUCCCCCACGCGCGCGCUGAGGCUCUGGUCUGCGCUUGGCGGCUGCGCGCCCUCGGCGUUCGGGUCCCCGCCGCCUCGGUGCUGCAGACUCUGACUUCUUCCUGUGGAGUUAACACAGAAAAGCGCAGACGGCCACAUUCAAGGCCCGGGACUAACGGCUCUACCUGUCACAUUCGCUUUCAGCCUUAAACAAAAUUAGUUUAUUUUAAACAAAAUAUAUAACUAAUGUAUGCUGGCCUUCUGAUUUAUUCCUGCUGUUACCGGAAGUGUAGAAAGUGAGCCCAAGUCCUCAGUGAACAGUGGGGGCGCUGCCCAGGUGCAGGACGGGCACCCGGGGGUCUCGGGACGGCUCCUGCCUGGGUCUUCCCAGCACCGCGCGCUUUGGAGGCCUGGGCACAGGCGGAGGCGGGGCUGGGUCCCGCCGCACACUCCCCUGUCGCAGGCGCCCUCUCUCCAGCCGGAGGGGACCUCAAGAAGCCCGUCCCACGUGGGGCCGCGGCUUAUACAGGGACCACUUCAGGGUUCGAAAACGGAACCCCGGCCGGGUGCACCGCAGAAGAGAAAAUCGCUCGCGGCCACCUGGGUAGAGACCCUUGACUGGGCGGCGUGGAGGAGCGAGCGGGGUCUGCAGCUCCGGCCAGCAGGUACGCACUUCCCUCCCUCACCCACGCCGGCUCCGGUCCAGAGAGCCGAGACUGUGGGUCCAGACCGGGACGGAUUCGCUGGGACAGGCCAGGAGCCCGCCAGCACAUGCGGGGACUCGCGCGCCCGGGGCUCCUCGGACUCGUCGACCCCGAAACGCCUGCCCCACAGGAAGAUCACCCCACUGUAGAAGUCGGGUCACGGGGACCAGCGGCGAGCUACCUGAGGGCUUGACUGCAAACACCCUCCCGACGAAAACCAUGGACUCCCGGGGUGCGAGCGUGUGACCGUUUUGGGGGGUGUUGGCAGACGGUCCCCAUAAUAAUCGAACAACCAGGUGGAAGAACCUCAGGCCUCGCACUCUGGGGCUCUCAGAGUCUGGGCGUUGCAGCCGCUCCCGUACACCCCCGGGUCACCUGGCUGAAUCCGGUGGGAGCUGCUGAGGUGCCGGGAGGUCUCCCAGGCUGGCGCUCCCGUCCAGCUGUUGGUGGAGGCGCGCGUGCGAGGCUUGGGACAAGGGAGAGCUAUGCCGGGUGGGGCAGACCCUUGGGGCGGGUUGGUUCACCCGAAAUGUUCACUGUGGGAAGAGCCGAAAGCCAGCCACGGCACCAGGAGAGUCCAGCGUGGAGAGGCAGAGAGGAAGGACGAGUGCAGCGGCGCUCGCAGACGGCGGAGCAAGAUCGCCGGGAGUGCGAAUGGAAACAGGGGCAUUGUUUCCUCGGAGUGGCUUAACCACCAUCCCACGCUGUUUUACAGCAGUGUAGGAAAUGUCUCUGCUGGUGACACAAAAAUAAACCUGUGGCUCAGCGCUGAGUAGAUUAUCGCGAAUUUUACAGCAGGAAAUCCGUAUCACUAUCUUUACUGCUAAAUAAACCAGUGCAAUUAAAGCGCGCAGGGCGAGAGUAUGUCGAGGCGAGCAAAGAGGAGCGCGCCCGCCCAGCUCCAGCCUCAGGCUUGCCCUGUGCUGGAGGCGGCCCGCGGGCAAUCCCAGGAGAACGCGGCGAGGUCUGUGAGCCAGGACCCCCGGCGACCCCCGGGAGCGCGCGCCCGUGGGUCCAGCCUCCGAGCUGUGCGACAACCCGGUGGCCAGAGUCACCACGAGAAGACAGAGUUCGCGGUCAUCGGUCGUUUCUGCCUUACACUUUCCUACAUUUCCUGAACAUUUUGCAAAUGGGUAUGUCCUGCUUGUUAUCUUUUCAUAAAACGCUAAGAGCCGCUUCUCGGGGCUCCUCACCCAACUGGUCCGGCGUUCCCUCCCAGCACUGCGCUCUCUCCCGAGCCCUCCGGCUCUGCCAACCUCUGCGUCCUGCGCCUAGGCCUCAAGAUUUGCACCUUUCUUGAACUCCCUUGGGAAGGGACGCCCAGGCUGCAGAACGGAUGGACGCCCCUGCCUGCUACUCGAGUGGAUCCAGCAGGGAGGCGCUCACUCGGAUUCCAGGAGACCAGAGGAGACAGGGCAUACGGAGCGUUUACCCGGUGUGGAGCUACCGGCGGCUGAGAAUUAGCGGCAGACGCGAAGAUGGGCAGCGGGGACAGGUUGGGCUUGGGAGACUAUGAGACUUUUGAGAAUGGUUUCAAGCUGCCAGAAAGAAAUCCUCCUUUUUGGUGAAUUGAUCCGUGAAGCACACAAUGUUGAAAAUAUUCAGCAAGUUUGUUAACAGCCGGCUCGUUGGUCUAGGGGUAUGAUUCUCGCUUUGGGUGCGAGAGGUCCCGGGUUCAAAUCCCGGACGAGCCCAGUUUUUGUUUUUUUCAUUUCAACUAAAUUUCUUCCUGUUCA